Non-coding RNA from Poecilia reticulata (guppy), 437 nucleotides. NCBI's taxonomy places the organism in Eukaryota, Metazoa, Chordata, Actinopteri, Cyprinodontiformes, Poeciliidae. The record is from RefSeq and is a predicted model, not a curated record.
GCCUGGGAUUUCUCACAUUGAGCUUGAUUUCAAAUACCAGGAUUAUCACUUUUGUCCCAAAAACCUCAGUUGUUUGUCGGGAAGCUGAAGACGAGGAGAUAUUUUAGUUUUCAGCAAUACAGGUAGAAGAUCUUGACACUGGCUGUGUUUUUCUCUCAAAUGAAGGCACUAGAAGAGCUGCUGCUACUAAUAACUUCUUAUUUAUUAACAUAGAGCAUCUUCACGGCUUGUCAUGGCAGAUCGGAUUCCCAACACACCCGUCCGGAUCCGCUCCUGCUUGAACCGGCCCAGACCUUUUGGACCAGCCUCAUUUCAUGACCCCAGUGCUUCUCCUUCAGCUACUAUCAAAACAUUGUCACUGUAAGCCAAAUAAUUUCAUAAAUUUAUUACAUUUCCUCAUUUGUUAACAGUGUUUCACCUCAUCCUAAAUGCAUUUU